GCCAUUUCCACAGGGUCAGACAAACACCCACUGAUUGAUCAUAGAACUUCCUAUCAGAACCUAAAAUGAGGUCUGCUGAUCAGCCCCAGAUACACUUCUGGUAAAUGUGUUUUUGGGAAUUACAGACAAUAUUUUCCAGGGGAGAAACUUAGCACAGUUCUUUUGCAAUGCUAUGUGAAGACAAGUAUUGUGAUAAUAACAGGUUUAAAGAUAUUAGUCACUGAUAGUAAGAUUUUUAAGAAUUUUUUUCCAUAAUAUACUAGUGGCUUUUGACACUACAAAAAAGAAAGAAGAAAAAUUAGGUCUCUGUGAUCUAUUAUUUUUCUGUCUUUAGAAGAUGAGUUAGAAUCCUCUGUGAACUCUUUGACACAGCACAGCUCCUGCCUCAGUAGGUAAAUCAUCAGGACAUACAUAUUCUUAUUACGCAGACAGAUAUUUAAUUUCAAAUAAAUUCCAUUACUGUUUGAAAACAAAAAGAUUGCUUUUUUAUAUAAAAUGACUUCCAUUGGUUGCUGUCCCCUUCUUUAUUUUUUGUAGCACUGAGGAUUUAAGGCUACAUGAAGGGCAACGAAAUUUUGAAAUCAUGUGAUGAGAAACCAUCCUAAGACUAGCAGAAGAAGCUUUGGUAGGUCACAGAGAUAGUGAAGAGUAGGGAUUAAUAAGACAACCACUACUUGAAGCAAAUUUGGUGAUGAGUUGGAUAUAACUGGCAAUACAGGUGAGAUAUCUAGGAGGAUUCUUGGUUUCUGGAUUAUAAAUUUCGCUUGACAGAGAUGAUGAAUAGGUGAUAGAUAGAAAAGGAGCAUAUCUAGAAGGGAGUCAUAUUUUAUAUAUGCAUGUAUGAAUGUAUUUGCACAUACUGAUUUGAAAUUAUUUUGAAAAACUAGAGUGGAUAUUGGCAGUUGACCAGAUCUGGAGACAGCAGACAUGGAUCUGUGAGAAACAUCACUACCGCAUAUCUGGUACAUAUGGCCUCCCAGACCCCAGGAGCCUGCAGCCUGCAUUUCCAAGAGGCCACUGCAGAGACUUCCACAGCACCUCUGUUUGUCUAAUGACAUGGGCACCAGAUUCCACACUUAUUUCACAUUCAGCAGUACAGCUCUGCACACAGAAAGGUAAGCAGUGCAGGCUUGAUAAGCUUGCCUUUUGAACAAAUAAUUUGUCAGUCUGUGUUGGGAACUGGGAUGUUACUAGUUCUGUGAAGCACUUUUAGUGCUGUG
Molecule: long non-coding RNA, 1220 nt
Filed under: Felis catus (domestic cat)
Lineage: Eukaryota; Metazoa; Chordata; Mammalia; Carnivora; Felidae
Description: lncRNA (ENSFCAG00000052012.1)
Source: RNAcentral